UACAGAGACCUCAAGCGUUAUCCGGAAUCAUUGGGCGUAAAGCGUUCCGAUAGGUUGUUUUGAAAGUCUUGGGUAAAAGCCAGAAGCUUAACUUCUGCGUUUGCUUAAGAUACUGCAAAACUAGAGGGGCAAAGAGGUGCUUGGAACGAACGGUGUAGUAGUGAAAUGCGUUGAUAUCGUUCGGAACACCGAAAGCGAAGGCAGAGCACUGGGUGCCACCUGACACUGCUAGGACGAAAGCGUGGGGAGCGAAUGGG
Molecule: ribosomal RNA, 257 nt
Filed under: uncultured bacterium
Lineage: Bacteria
Description: partial 16S ribosomal RNA
Rfam family: Bacterial small subunit ribosomal RNA
Source: RNAcentral